UGGGGGUGGGUGGGGUGCUUUGAACGCCCCCGCGCAGACGCUUUUGGGACGCGGCGGGCUCGGUGGGACGGGGUUGGCGCCUGAGUCCCGUGGGGCUGGUGGAAGAGUGACGGGAGCUCUGGAGAGGGAGCCUCACCCCCCCCCCCUCCUCCCCUCCCCGGGGGGGCGCGUGGGCGGGUGCAGGAGGCCGAGUAUCAGUCCCAGCCAGGAGGCGCCGCGGCACCGCGGGACGCCGGGACAUCUGUAAGUCCAGGCAUCCAUCCAGCCACGUGUCCAACGGACAGACCGGCCACGUGCCCCCCCCACAGCACCCCAGGAGCUCCGAGCGGAGGCCAACCUGGACGUUUCUUCCGCCAUGGGUUCCCUCAGCAGAAUCCCGUAGGGAUUUCGUUUGCCGAGUUGCCAAGCUCUCAUUGGCUGGAAAAGAAGAGACUGUCCAGAGCCAUUUGGUGGCCUCUUUUGAGAGACCGGCUAGAAUGGAAGCCCUUUCUGAAGCCCUGUGUGUGCAAACCCAGCGACCUUCUGGACAAAAGAUGGUUGUGGUCUGAUGAUACUAAAGUUGAGCUCCUUGGCUCAGAAGCAAAGAGAUAUGUUUGUGCGCAAACAAAAUGGCACCCUUGCUGUCGAGUGUGGUGGUGGCGGCGUCGUGCUAUGGGACUGCUUUUUUUCGGCAGGAGGGGACUGGGGAUGACUGUUGCCGUGAGGAACAAGAUGGACAGAGCCAAAAUACUGGCCAGUCCGUGAGGAGAACCUGUUUCGCCCCACAAGGUACAGGUGUUUAGCGAGGGCAGGAUUCAUGUUCAGACAGGACAGUGACCAAAAAAGCAAAUGGGGGUGGGUGGGUGGGGGGAAACUGCAAAGAAUGACUUACAAACAAGACGUGGGUUAGCAGUCUGCAAUGGCCCAGCCAAAGCCCAGACUUAAAAACCCCACUUAAAAUCUGUGGCGCAUACCCGAACAUCCCUGUCCACCAGGAAGGCUUCCCGCGAGGCCUAGUGGAGCUGAAACUAGUUUUGCAAGGAGGUACGGGCAAAAAAUUCCCCAAAACCAAAGCUUGAGAACCUCAUACAGGCAAAACCAAGAAAGGCUCAGGGGAGGGAUCGCUGCCAAGUGUCUGUCUGCUAAGUUUUGAGUCUGUGGGGGCGUGCAAACAGUUUUGUAAACAAGAAGUCUAAGCCUUGCAUUUAAACAAAAUAAAAAAUAUUGAAUCCUUUUU
Molecule: long non-coding RNA, 1216 nt
Organism: Anguilla anguilla (European eel)
Lineage: Eukaryota; Metazoa; Chordata; Actinopteri; Anguilliformes; Anguillidae
Exons: 2
Source: RefSeq, a predicted model, not a curated record